RNAcentral lists this ribosomal RNA (254 nucleotides) under uncultured bacterium. RNAcentral describes it as "partial 16S ribosomal RNA". It matches the Rfam family "Bacterial small subunit ribosomal RNA", at positions 524 to 776 of the family's 1533-position model. The record is from RNAcentral.
CACGUAGGGGGCGAGCGUUGUCCGGAUUUAUUGGGCGUAAAGAGCUCGUAGGCGGUUUCGUAAGUCGGAUGUGAAAACUCCAGGCUCAACUUGGAGACGCCAUUCGAUACUGCGAUGACUUGAGUCCGGUAGGGGAGUGUGGAAUUCCUGGUGUAGCGGUGAAAUGCGCAGAUAUCAGGAGGAACACCGGCGGCGAAGGCGGCACUCUGGGCCGGUACUGACGCUGAGGAGCGAAAGCAUGGGGAGCGAACAGG